CUGCGUUUUUCUUUCAGUUUCCAGUAUCCGUAGUUCUCUGUUUGUUUUAAUGAUGUUUUCGUUUUUUUGAGCAAUUAAUAAGAAACUCUGCUAUGUCAUUAAUGUCAGUUCUGCCGCGCUUUUAACUGUGAUUUAGUUUUUCGAAGAUACCCUAUUUUAAAAAACACCACACAACUGAUUCACCUACGUUAGCAGGCGCUACAUAAACGCAUUGUUGUUGACCAAGAAGCGCCUCCAAAGUGUUAAUGCCGUCAUGCAUCAUCAAUAAGCAUCAGGCGUCAGUGCGGGCACACGCAGCGUGGUGACGUCUGUGAUAGCGACAGUUAGGGGUAGAAGGAUAGGGCGGUGAUGUCAGUGGCUAGGGUUCCAGGCUUUGUCGACGGUUGUCAGGUUGUGGAUUUGGCUUCUCGAUCCAGGAUCUGUUUUACGACUGCUCACAUAGGCAAUGGUGUUAGUGAACUUAGCAUCAGUUCAGCACGCUCAGUAGGACGGCUCGGGCGGGGAUGUAUCCAGGUGCUCCUCCACAGGAUGAAGCUACAGCCAAGCCAGCGCCGGGAUCUGCUCAGGAGAGGGUUCACCACAUCUGCAGCAUCUUUGCAGUGUAACUUGAAGAAAGUGGAUCUGCCUCCAUUAGAAAGUCGAAAGUUCUUUUUUGACACUCACGCAGUAGUACGUGAAUUGGAAGGCUAUGGUUUCAGCACUAAGCAGUCAGAAGUUGUGGUAGCUGCACUAAUGAGAGUCAUGAACUCCAGUAUGGAAAUUAUGUAUAAGGAUAUGGCAACCAAAAUUCAACAAGAGGUAAUGCUUCAGCAGAUUAUGUCACAUAUAACUGCUGUGAAAAAGGAUAUGAUCAUAUUGGAGAAGAGUGAGUUUUCAGCAAUACGAGCUGCAAAUGAGAAACUGAAAAUUGAAUUGCAACAGCUCAAAAAACAGUUAGUCGAUGAAGUUGUGAAGAUAUCAUCAAACAACAAAUUAGACAUGAAUUUGGAAAAAAGUAGAGUUCAAGAAAUGUUAACGGGGCAUGAAAGGAGAGUACUGGAAACCAGAGCAGAUAUAGUAGAGUUGCAUUCACAGCAAAACCGAGCAGUGACUCAAAUAAACCGAAAGAUAGACACUGAAGUAGCAGGACUGAAAACUCUGCUAGAAUCACACAAACUUGACACGAUUAAAUAUUUAGCAGGUUCAGUUUUCACGUGUCUUACCAUAGUACUUGGAUUUUAUCGUCUCUGGGUAUGAAAUUUAAUCCCUCACUGGAAUUUAGUAUUCAGCUUCGUUAUCAGGAAAAGGAGCCGUAAUGAUUUAAAAGAAAUCAGACUCUCAAUCAUUUGAAAAGUUUUCUAGACUGAUGUCUUUCCCUCUAACAAAUAUUGACUGACCAACUGUGGGUUUCCACUGCUUAUGGUUUUCAUUUCCAAUCCCAACCAUUAAUACUUAUUUUGAAAUUAGGAACCUGACUGAAGCUUUCAUGGAAAUUGCUAUCUCCAGUCAAGAGCUUACAGCAUAGGAAUACAUGUUUUAAUUAAACCAGUAACAUGUAUUACAAGUGCUAUUUUAUUUAACACUGACCAUUUAAAGAUUAAGUUUAGCCCUCAGAUGUGGUCACAUAUGCUUAAUGUACCAAUCUGCAAAUCUACCACAAAUUUGUAAAGUGUUCUUUUGGCACGUCCUAUGUGGUAUAAUUGUACUUUUUGUGCUCGUGUAAACUGGAACCUCGCUCAAUGUAAAAAUUAGAUUUUCUUGAAAAUAUUAUUAGCAAUUCCAACUUGUCUCUCAGAUUCGAAUUUCCUAAUUUAGUCACUAAUUUCCAGUUCUCAUGCCCAAAACUAAAUAUUAUAGCUUCAAGAAUGAAUAUUAUAACAGAUAAAGACUGAAAGACUUGCAUUUUUAUUGUGCCUUUCAAAUUGGAAAGUAGAUGCAGCUUGCGUUUGCAAUUGCAUUGGUUAGUUUAUACCUUCAGCUGAAUCCUAAUGUUUUGACUGAAUCAAUUUUGUUGAGUUUCAUAGAUUUCCCCUGUCCACUGUCGUUCCAAAUCUGCCUCAUUAACUGCCUGCCCCUGCCUUAUGGCUCCACUUACAUCCAGAAGAAUUGCUACUGCUGAAAUAUUGGAGAAUGGACUGGCAUUCCUGGUGCCAGUGCUAUUGCCAUUUUUUAAAAGCCUUUAUGGACCUGGAAAAGCACAGCCAGUCUGGAGCUGCCUUUCGUGGUUCAUGACAUUUACCCUAGAUGUAAUAAUAAGGGUAUAUUGGUGCACUGCUUUGUAGACAUGGAUCUAAAGGUGUAAUAGGACCACCAGAGAAGGCCAUGAUGCCAUACCGUGCUCACUUGUUCCACUGUUGUUACUUAGGUCAGUGCAGUCUCUGCCAUCUGGAGGAAUACCAAGCUGUGUAGGAACAAG
RNA transcript from Rhincodon typus (whale shark), 2395 nucleotides. It is a transcript of the gene named mitochondrial calcium uniporter regulator 1, with no coding region annotated. NCBI's taxonomy places the organism in Eukaryota, Metazoa, Chordata, Chondrichthyes, Orectolobiformes, Rhincodontidae. The record is from RefSeq and is a predicted model, not a curated record. The transcript has 11 exons.